GUCGAGCGAACAGACGAGGAGCUUGCUCCUCUGACGUUAGCGGCGGACGGGUGAGUAACACGUGGAUAACCUACCUAUAAGACUGGGAUAACUUCGGGAAACCGGAGCUAAUACCGGAUAAUAUAUUGAACCGCAUGGUUCAAUAGUGAAAGACGGUUUUGCUGUCACUUAUAGAUGGAUCCGCGCCGCAUUAGCUAGUUGGUAAGGUAACGGCUUACCAAGGCAACGAUGCGUAGCCGACCUGAGAGGGUGAUCGGCCACACUGGAACUGAGACACGGUCCAGACUCCUACGGGAGGCAGCAGUAGGGAAUCUUCCGCAAUGGGCGAAAGCCUGACGGAGCAACGCCGCGUGAGUGAUGAAGGUCUUCGGAUCGUAAAACUCUGUUAUUAGGGAAGAACAAAUGUGUAAGUAACUAUGCACGUCUUGACGGUACCUAAUCAGAAAGCCACGGCUAACUACGUGCCAGCAGCCGCGGUAAUACGUAGGUGGCAAGCGUUAUCCGGAAUUAUUGGGCGUAAAGCGCGCGUAGGCGGUUUUUUAAGUCUGAUGUGAAAGCCCACGGCUCAACCGUGGAGGGUCAUUGGAAACUGGAAAACUUGAGUGCAGAAGAGGAAAGUGGAAUUCCAUGUGUAGCGGUGAAAUGCGCAGAGAUAUGGAGGAACACCAGUGGCGAAGGCGACUUUCU
This 687-nucleotide ribosomal RNA is filed under the name uncultured Staphylococcus sp. RNAcentral's name for it is "bacterial SSU rRNA". It matches the Rfam family "Bacterial small subunit ribosomal RNA", at positions 61 to 730 of the family's 1533-position model. Lineage: Bacteria; Bacillati; Bacillota; Bacilli; Caryophanales; Staphylococcaceae. The record is from RNAcentral.